AGUCUCCCCCCCCUCCUCCCGGCACACACAUACCCGGGAAGAAAGCUGGAGCUGUCGCUCCUCUGCCAGCCCUCGUUGUGCCUUCCCUUUGUGCGAGCCCCCGCUAGCUAAGCAUGCAGCGAAGGAGGGAGGAUGCAAAGGCGGCCCGGGGGGAAUAAGCGCUCCCGCAUGCAGCCAGUCUGUGCAGCUCCUCAGUCAACUGAAACCACUCGUUCAAGACAGCAACAAUCCAGAUAUACUAGCAAGUCAUAAAACUGAACAAAAGCCGACAAACCUUAGAGCACCAUCGCUAUAUGGCCCAGACAAAUUACGACCGUCUAGGUAAUAUUUAAAUAGAUUCCUAAAGUAAUUGCAGGGGGUUUAGGCAACUAUUCCUGUUGUAAAAGUUCUCGAAGACAUAAAGUAGAACCUGAGGAUAAACAGUCACAAAAAGAGGGGGAACCGUUGUGUGCUUAUCCCGUGUUACCAACGGUAACGCUAUUAAUCGACCAACAACAACAAAAAAAUCACUAAUUCCACAUCUUUAAGCAAAACUACGUUACGUAAAUAUCUACAACCAGAAAGAGAGAGAGAAAUUCAGAGCUUGAAAGAGCGAAGCGGGCCCGGGAAAGGCUGCAGGAACCGAGGAGGCUCACACAUGGCCCUCAGCGUUAGCGUGGCUCUCUUCCGCUCCCCCCGCAGCCCCGAAGCAGCUAUUAAGAGUUUAAGGACAUACUGAGAACGUCUAAAAUCGUUAAUCCGUACAGGUGCGGAUGACUACAGCCUAGGAAAAUGAUACUGGCUCUUUAAACCAUCAAGAUGUGUUUAUAGGUUCAUCAAGAGAAAUUAAAGUUGGCUGUGAGCUCCCGAAUCCUAUUCUCUCUGUUCAUUUUCUUCAGUUUCAUUCUGCGGUUCUGAAACCAG
Molecule: long non-coding RNA, 903 nt
Filed under: Gallus gallus (chicken)
Lineage: Eukaryota; Metazoa; Chordata; Aves; Galliformes; Phasianidae
Source: RNAcentral